Molecule: ribosomal RNA, 1012 nt
Filed under: Corallococcus coralloides
Lineage: Bacteria; Pseudomonadati; Myxococcota; Myxococcia; Myxococcales; Myxococcaceae
Description: bacterial SSU rRNA
Rfam family: Bacterial small subunit ribosomal RNA
Source: RNAcentral
UAGAGUUUUGUUCAUGGCUCAGAACGAACGCUGGCGGCGUGCCUAACACAUGCAAGUCGAGCGCGAAUGGGGAAACCCUAGUAGAGCGGCGCACGGGUGCGUAACACGUGGAUAAUCUGCCUGGAUGCCUGGGAUAACCAGUCGAAAGAUUGGCUAAUACCGGAUAAGCCCACGGUUUCUUCGGAGACUGAGGGAAAAGGUGGCCUCUGUAAACAAGCUAUCACAACCAGAUGAGUCCGCGGCCCAUCAGCUAGUUGGCGGGGUAAUGGCCCACCAAGGCGACGACGGGUAGCUGGUCUGAGAGGACGAUCAGCCACACUGGAACUGAGACACGGUCCAGACUCCUACGGGAGGCAGCAGUGGGGAAUUUUGCGCAAUGGGCGAAAGCCUGACGCAGCAACGCCGCGUGUGUGAUGAAGGUCUUUGGAUUGUAAAGCACUUUCGACCGGGACGAAACCGUAAAGCCUAAUACGCUUUGCCUUGACGGUACCGGGAGAAGAAGCACCGGCUAACUCUGUGCCAGCAGCCGCGGUAAUACAGAGGGUGCAAGCGUUGUUCGGAAUUAUUGGGCGUAAAGCGCGUGUAGGCGGCUUUGCAAGUCGGGUGUGAAAGCCCUCAGCUCAACUGAGGAAGUGCGCCCGAAACUGCAGAGCUUGAGUGCCGGAGAGGGUGGCGGAAUUCCCCAAGUAGAGGUGAAAUUCGUAGAUAUGGGGAGGAACACCGGUGGCGAAGGCGGCCACCUGGACGGUAACUGACGCUGAGACGCGAAAGCGUGGGUAGCAAACAGGAUUAGAUACCCUGGUAGUCCACGCCGUAAACGAUGAGAACUAGGUGUCGUGGGAGUUGACCCCCGCGGUGCCGUAGCUAACGCAUUAAGUUCUCCGCCUGGGAAGUACGGUCGCAAGACUAAAACUCAAAGGAAUUGACGGGGGCCCGCACAAGCGGUGGGAGCAUGUGGUUUAAUUCGACGCAACGCGCAGAACCUUUACCCUGUCUUGACAUCCUCGGAAUC